UGUUCAAAUCGAUUUAUACCGAAAUCGCUGUUUGUUUAGCGAAUCGGAGUCCAGGGGCGGGGACGCAGUCAGCACUAUGUAGAUCAGUAGUCACUAGUCAGCAGUCACUAGUCAUAGUCAGUAAGCUACAAGUGGGAUAACUAACACGAUAGCCCUGCUGGUUGCAGUUUAGUAUACCACAGAAAACUCUAAAAAAACAAAAAAAAAAAAAAAAAAAAAAAGAAAAAAAAGCAAACAAACUAACAAACAUCAGACAAAUGCUGGUUUUUCAUAAGGCCCCGUACAAAUUGUAGUUCCACUUGAUAGCCGCAAGGAUACUGCAGAAAAGCAAGAAAAUAGAGUUUCUCGCCCCUAUUUUCUUUCAUUUUUUUAGCUGAAUAGCUGUCAAAGCUGGUUUUGUAAAACCAAUCGAAUGUGUACUCGACUGAAAAGAAAUUGUUUUCGUCCCAGUAUAAAAACUAUAUUGCUAACGGCUCGUUAUUUAUAGAUGUCGAAAGAAAGUUAAGCAACCAAUGCCUGCUGACAAGUGAGAAAUCUGCAAAUUAAGAUAAGCCAGGCAUGUCAGAAUUCAUACUACCACAGACUCACCUCCCGAGUUCCAAAUUCAUUUGUCAAAAAUUCUUCAAUUCCAAAAUUCCAGACUCCAAAAAGUAAGGAUUUCGCAUAGGGUUCGAUUACCGCAUUGAAUGGGUGUUUUUCUUAAUUGUUUUUUGGUUGUUUGGGAAUUUAAGUGCUCGAUUGCUGUUUGUUUUUGUUUUCUUACUCAUGAUCUCCAUUCGGGUUUCAAAAGGGGGCAAUCAAACAGCAAAACCCGAUCCCAUUAACCGGUUCAUAUCGUUUUCCUCGCAUCUACCCUGAUUUUAACCAUGCUAUUUAUUACUAUUCAGGAAUCAGGAUUAUUUUAUAUUGAAAAUUUUAUUCCUUGGUAGCCUUCUUUUUAAUUUGGCAUCAUUCAAGCCACGUUUUAGAAAACUGUGGUGGGUCAGCCUAGUUUGCCUAAAAAGAGCGCCCCAAUCGACCCAGCCUGGAACGUUGGCGCCUAAAACAUACUUUUUUUUUUGGUGGGAAACUAUGUUAGACCUGGGUUUAGUAAACAAAAACCGAUUGCGCCGUAAUUUUAUUAUGUUUUUUUUGUGGUUUUGGCAACGUUGCGAUUUUAACCGUCACCUCUCACCUGACUACCUGAGUCCCACUAGAUACUGGAUGGAUUAACUUAGCUUCGUGAAAGAUGGGUUGUUUUGUUUGAUUUUACAUUUCACAGCUUGUAACAUCCCUCAUUUAAAAUUAGCGUUUGGAGAAUAAAUGACACGUUAAUCAUUUCUUUAAUUGCCUACCAUCUUCCACAGUCUGGCACGGAAAAGUAAAAAUUUUUGUGGGAUAAACAAAAACUUAUUUCUUUAAGAGGAAUCUGUCGAUAGUCCUUACAGCUGUGAUUCGAUUCCGGAAAAAGAAUACUAUGCCUACUUGUACUACUAAACCAAUGGAACUAGUUUGGGUUUCAAAAACAGAAAUGAAAAUCAUUCAUUUUUGCAAGAAGAUAUAAUUCACAGCCUUGUAUACCAUAUCCACCACGGGAUACAUGCUGCGUCGUUCAUUUUAUAUGAAGGUGUCAUCAACCCUUUGCUUCUGGUCAUACGGUAAGUAUUUUCACCAAUUGUCACCAUUCCAACAGGAAUUGGUUGUAAAUCAUUUGUGUGUCUAAUUGACUGUUGGUUGUGGUUAUAAGGAUAAAUUUUCCAGGAAUUCGUCCGUCUUCCAUAGCGUCUAAAUCUUAUUCAAAUUCCAUGUACUUAUAGUUUAGAAGAAUAAGCUUUCUUAAUUCAAAGAAAUGAAGUCGUUAAAUUGGGUGUACCGGCUUUUUUGGUUCCUCCUGAGAUUCCAAUAAACGGCUCGAUGGUCUAGGGGUAUGAUUCUCGCUUAGGGUGCGAGAGGUCCCGGGUUCAAAUCCCGGUCGAGCCCGUUUAAAGAUUUUUUUUCUUCAAUUGCUCGAACUUUAUUAUAUGAAACCAUUUAUUGAUUUUUAUUCGUUUCCUUCCGACCAGUGUUGGUGUAGGCCUAAAUACCCCCUUCGUCAUGUAGUUCUUCAUUUUAAAAUUUGACGAGGAAUCAGAGGGCCUUCAUGUUUUCAAUAUUGCGAAAGUAUUGUGAACUUACUUGAUGCUGGAAACACACAUAUUCAUAAACAAAAAAGUUUGAAAAAGAAUGAAAUUUUUUAC
This is a long non-coding RNA of Daphnia magna, 2216 nucleotides long. RefSeq lists it as uncharacterized. Lineage: Eukaryota; Metazoa; Arthropoda; Branchiopoda; Diplostraca; Daphniidae. The transcript has 3 exons. The record is from RefSeq and is a predicted model, not a curated record.